This 495-nucleotide ribosomal RNA is filed under the name uncultured bacterium. RNAcentral's name for it is "partial 16S ribosomal RNA". It matches the Rfam family "Bacterial small subunit ribosomal RNA", at positions 28 to 507 of the family's 1533-position model. The record is from RNAcentral.
GACGAACGCUGGCGGCGUGCCUAAUACAUGCAAGUAGAACGCUGAAGGAGGAGCUUGCUUCUCUGGAUGAGUUGCGAACGGGUGAGUAACGCGUAGGUAACCUGCCUGGUAGCGGGGGAUAACUAUUGGAAACGAUAGCUAAUACCGCAUAAUAGCAGUUGUUGCAUGACAACUGUUUGAAAGGUGCAAUUGCACCACUACCAGAUGGACCUGCGUUGUAUUAGCUAGUUGGUGGGGUAACGGCUCACCAAGGCGACGAUACAUAGCCGACCUGAGAGGGUGAUCGGCCACACUGGGACUGAGACACGGCCCAGACUCCUACGGGAGGCAGCAGUAGGGAAUCUUCGGCAAUGGACGGAAGUCUGACCGAGCAACGCCGCGUGAGUGAAGAAGGUUUUCGGAUCGUAAAGCUCUGUUGUAAGAGAAGAACGAGUGUGAGAGUGGAAAGUUCACACUGUGACGGUAUCUUACCAGAAAGAGACGGCUAACUACGCG